Long non-coding RNA from Bombus pyrosoma, 5612 nucleotides. RefSeq lists it as uncharacterized. The record is from RefSeq and is a predicted model, not a curated record. The transcript has 3 exons. Lineage: Eukaryota; Metazoa; Arthropoda; Insecta; Hymenoptera; Apidae.
UUCUUCGGUCAGAUAGACUCUUCCGUCUUCGAGGCGAUAAAGUUACACUCGUAUCUCGUAUCGUUCCUUCCAUUUAUGAAAAUAAUCUAAGUUAAUUUUGAGGAAUUCUGUUCGAUAUUCUUCGUUCUUCGAGUGGCGAAGUUGGUUUCUAGUAAUUUUACGGGUAUAAAAUGAAAUUGGACGAGAGAGUUGAAAAGAAACGGAUUGUCUGUCGAUACGAAGGGUCGUGCCCCUUUAAGGUUGCUCAGUUCGCACGUUUCGUUAAACGAAUGGAAAAGUACGCGCGACAACGAUAGAGAACCUAUUUCUAAUCCUAACGACAGUUCUGGCUAAUGCCAUAUCUCGAUCAACGUGACGACGGGUGAAACAAUAGAGAAACUACUUCAAAUUUUUAAAAAUGUUCCAUCAGAGUCAUACCACGAUCAGUAUGACAGUGACAGAAGCUUGCUUCAAAUCCUAAAAAAAGUAUUAGUCAAUGUCACGCCUUGAUUACUAUGAUCACGACAGAAAAUUAAUUUAGGAACCUAACGAGACUAUUAAUCAAUGUCAUUCGUUCAUUAGAGCAAGAAUAACGCGCAACAAUAAUAGAAAUGUUACUUUAAAUCCUAAAAAUUAUAAAAUAUUAGCCACAGUAAAUUCUUAAUAGAAAGCAUUGUAUUCGUUUUUUCUUUCACGAUGGAAUUUCUUGAAAGUAAUUUCCAUCGGAAGCCAUCGAUCGUAACGUCGUAACUGAAAUUCGUGUCGACGGCAGCUUUAUUAUCGGUUACAAUUAUUUGCACGUAACGCGCGUGCAACGACGCUCAUAUUCCGUGUUUCAUCGUCUUCGUGCCAUUGAAUUUAUCGCUACCGUUAUACACCUUUCGACUGGAUCCCCGCCUCUCGUCGUGUCCGUUUGAGUUAAAGCGCCGCUCGAACCGAGUACAAGCGAAGACUACACCGAACACUCUCCUCGCUCUCUUCGGGCUCGACACGAGCCGCUGCAUUUUCAGAACGGUACUCCUAACUGUAUCUUACAUACGUAUACAUGUACAUGUGUAUAUACGUCUGUUUCUACUCACCUGUCGGCAUCGCGACCAAGCACCCGCGCAUACCGAUCGGAGAACAAGGGAAAACGACCGCGUCGAUGACCCUAGACGAGAUGACGAAUUCCUUGAGUAGAACUUAUCCAUGGGCUCCCAUGGAAUUCGAGGGAACCGAGCGAAUCUUUAAUUCACACGUCUUCAUACGUUGUAUAGAUAUUGGAACACGAUUCUUAACACCUGGAUCAUUGACAACUAAGGUGUAGAGUUUGUAUCAAAGAAAUUAAAAUUGGAUGCUUACGAAGAUAAAGUUUUAUCCGUGUUUUUCUAUAAACGUAUUAUUCAAAUCUCCAAAGCUUGCAUUGUUAUAAAUAUACGAAAUUUCCUCGAAAAAUAAUAAACUAUACUCUAGUAGAUCUAGUACUAAAUUCAUAUCUUAUGACGUCACGAAUUUGAUAAUGUUCUUGAAAACCAUUUUAUCUUUUUUGCAUAUGCGAUUCGAUGAUUGGAACCUCGUUGUUGGAGAAAUUUGAUGAAUUACAAGUUACAAGCCAGCAGUGUAAGUAAAUUAAAUUUCCAGAAGUCAGUUUUAUGCGUCAUAAAUGUCAUAUUUAAUGAAUUUUAGAGAAUUUCAAGAACCGUUUAUGGAAUACAGGGUAUUUUGUAAUUUCUUAAUAUCAUUUGUCCCCUAAUUAUUGUGCCUAUCCCUAUUAUUAACUAAAGAAUUUUGUCUUUCGCGAAGUACGAUGAACUACAUUUUCCACUCUCUCUCUCUCUCUCUUUCUCUCUCUCUCUCUCUCUCUCUCUCUCUCUCUUUACGUCUGCGUAAGUCAUUUGAUAUGGAAGCACGAUCCUUAUGUUCGUAUCUAAUGACACAUAACAUGAAAUGCGAUAUUGUUUUGAAGACUACGCGAUCUGGUGUAAAAGACUUAGUUAUUUACGAGGCACAAUGAACUCUAUUUCCCAACAUUCUCCUUCUUCUUCUCGUUAUUUUACGCGGUACGUUAUACGUUCUAGUUAAAGCGAAUUGAAUUUUCCGAGGCCUGAUUCAGAAAAUCUAAACCGUAGCUAGUCGAUAAAUAUAUUCUCCGUACAGUCGAAGCAUCCUUUAAGGAAUCCUUUGUGCGACCAAGAUUUUCUCAUUACGUCGACCCGGUACUAAUUUAUUCGUACACGAUGGGCAAUCACGGAGGAAACGGUUAGUCAUCGUUCAACGAUCCUUCGUUGAAUGAGACGCGACGAGUCAGCUUUGAAGCAAGAAUCCCGCUUCAAUGAGCUACACGAAGCGAAACACGGACCAGAGAGAAACGUCGAAGGAGUGGAGAGAAAAAAGAACGAAAAGAGAAGAAGAGAGAGGACAUACGAUGAAAGGGGGAGAAGUUCUCGGCUGGCUCGAGUCAAACAACGUGUAGCGGAUCUUCUACGCGGAUAUACACGUAAGUACGUACGUGCGGAUCGCGUGUAGGGAUACUCACGUAAUGUAGGCCCGUUGCCGGAGAUACCGUAAGACCUUGCUGUUACGUCACUAGAAGCCGCAUGAUUAGGAGAAAAAGGAUACCGGCGAGAAGGGAGAGAAGGAAACGGAAACUCUGUCCUCGGGAUGCGCACGCCGAGUGCCGCCUGUUCUUGGAAAUUCGUCGGCGCAAUAUUUCCUUAGCCCUUCAAAUCGUCUUUUUUUCUUUUUUUCUUUUUUUUUACUUUUUCGUUGCCUUUUAACCUGUUAACCAUAAGACGAGUUACUGAGAAUAUAAAUUUCUCCGAAUUGUACUCUAUUCAAAAACUCCCCAUGUUUUUUAUUUAUUGUUUUAUUUGCAUAUUUUGAGCUUCUUAAUUAUGAAGUAGAAUAUUAUUAAAUUAAUUAUAGAAUUAUAGAUCAGCCUUAUUUCAUUUGUAAACAGUUUCUCCACGUUUCUAAAUGUUAAAAUGGAUAAUAAUGGAAAUAGAAUAAAUUUACUUUAAAAAUUUACAUUACUUGAAAAAUUACAAUUUAUAAUUGUUAAAUGGAUUGAGAAUGGAAGAAUCAAGUAGUAACUUUGAAUAGAUCCUUUUAAUAAUUUUGAAAUAAAUGCGAGAUUCUCUGUUUUUCGAGAUGCAGUUUUCCAGAUUUGUUGAGUUUUCCAGACUUGAAAAAUAAUCCUAUAAUGCCAGACUAAGUGGAAUCGGAGUCUUUUAAUGGCUGCAAAAUAGUCUCAAUUAACAGAAUUACAACAGAACGGUGGUUCCAGGCAGUUUGGGAGGUAGCAUGCGGGAAUCGAAAGUGAUUAUGUAGCUGUUCCACGCUGAAAUGUUUCUAAAAUAAGAGACGUAUGUGUGAAGUUAUAAUUACGUGUCUGUAGAAGUUGCUUAUAAAUUUUGAUGUGCGAAAUGGGCUAAAUGAUCUUCAGUUGAUCUCUUCGGUCAAACAAAUCUAGCCGUGCUAAACGAGACAAUAUGUCACUUUUGUGCGAACUCUCAUACUUGCAAACUUUAAUUUUACUCUCAUUUUUUGUAAUUCUGUACUAUUUUUAACAAACAUUCUUUUACCUGAUACGUUCUAUGCGUUGAUAUUAUAAAAUAUUUACUUUAUCAUAUCGCUAUUUAUUGAUGUGAAUAAAUAGAAUUUUCACGACAUUUUCACGAUGUAACGAAAGGUUGAUGAAAACAUCUCCAAAAGAAGUUUCAUUUCUUUCGACGAAACUGGCAAACGAUGCAUCACGUGUUCGCCGGAGAUUUCGUAAGAGCCGACGUUUAUUUCGUCACGUAAGUACUUACGAUGACUGCUGAGGCUUCACGUGAAAUCAUCAGCCCUUCGAAACUCCCCUCCCUCGUUUUCCUUCUCUUCCACGGAACCUCCGUCACCGACACGGUCUGCGUCCACGUGUUUCUAUCUGCGGUCAGUGCACCUUGCUGCACGAACCACGGCCAUUUACCGAAGGUCCACGUAACGCGACCGUGCUUAAUAAUCUUUUCUCCCAAGGAUCGUCAACCUUGCCGAUGGAGAUGGAGAAAACGAUAGGUAAUAGGCGGGAUCAAGAGGUUGAUACUCAAAGUCCAUGGACCUUCUUCAGGGUGUCUAACCGCCUGGCAGAGUGAUUAAUCAAACUAAGCUUUCUUCCACGAGCAUUAGAGCGUGUUAGAUAAUUUUCUAUUAAUUUGAUAAUUACAAGCUACCUCGCUUCCGAAAUAUGUAGCGCCAUUAGAUAAUUUCAGAGAAUAUAAUUAACCCCUUAAUGCUCGAACUUCUUCUUUUUGUUUUUUCGUUUUUUUUCUUUCUACUCUACCGGUAAAGAAUGAUUAACUAUUUUAUUGCAGAAGACCAUUUAUAUGAAAAACAGUGUGAAUACAUGUGAUAUAUGUAUCUAAUUAAAAGUUCAUAAAUACAUGAAUCAAACAAUAUUUUUCGAAACGAUGGACGAUAUUGCGUAUGCCUUUUAAGAAGCUGAUUUUUAUUUAGUUUGAAUUUUUCUAAUUUUUAUUGAAAAUCUUUAGAUUGUAAGAUUAUUAAUCCAAAGUUCGAUGAGAUGCAAUUUUCGAUAUGUAUCUCACGUAUCCCAAUGAAACGUAAGCUCAAAUAUAAAAAAUGCUUACGCACGAAAAAGCGAUAUAAAAUAAACGUCUGCAACAAUGCAAUUGGAGACAGAAGGAUGUACGUGCGCACGGAUCGUUCAUCAUCCAUCCGGUUUGAUAUCGCGCCGAUGCAAAUGUUCAUUGGAUUUUCGUGUCGAUGACACGUGUUAAUGAAACGUUUAGCUUGGUACACAAUACGGAAGUGCAAAGUGCAGAUGAAGUCGCUGAACUUGCACCUCCUCCUUCGUCAUUCUUAUAAAAGAAACGCUGACCUUUCGUCUUUAAAAAUAUUACCUCAUAUUCCUGGAGUCGUGUUUAUAUUUUCCGCGAAAAAAUUCUGGAUCUAUUUUAUUUCGAGAAAGGCCAUUGAACUCUAAAAAAAUAUACUCCACUUGAAUCCAAAUUAUGUUAGAUUAUAGCAUAUGACGUAUUCUAUUUUGCAUCCAUCUUCUAAAACUCCUAUUUUUAUCGACGAAUAUUUGUAUCUUUGUAGAUAUAUCACUGAUGAUUCAUCGCAUAUCAUUUGAAUAUUGAGAAUUUUCUUUUUCAUAUACAAUGGAUACAAAAAGUAUUUGCAAGUAUCCUUCUUUUUUAUCAGAUUCUACACAAUUCAUUUUCAUAGUAUCAAAUUCCGGUAAUGUGAAAUAAAAAUACUAACUGAUACCUAAAUUUAAUAUGCUUGAACCUAAUUAAUAUGUAAACGCUAUAAUAAAUGAUGCGAGAACGUUUUUUGUAACCACUGUAGAAUUGAACUUAUAGAAUUUAGCAUAAAUUCUUGUGAAGCAUAAAUCGUCAAAAACUGGACAUUUCACGUAUAAGCUAAUAAUAAAAUAGCAGUCUAUAUUUUCAUUAACCUAUUUUUCGUAUCUUUAGAGAAAUACAAAAAUUCUGUAACUUGAAGUCCAAUGACAGACAGUCUACUUAUGUCAUCACCCUCUUAACCCAGUCCCCUUUUUUCACGCCUACCCUGUCUAUCUUAAACGCAACAAUUCCAUUCUUACGUGUACUACUAUGUCGUUCGUAAGUCGACCGUGUCGAUCAGUCUUG